CAAUGAGCUUAAGAUUCAUAUAUAAAGAUAACUUUUUUAUUAGAA
RNAcentral lists this transfer RNA (45 nucleotides) under Okanagana magnifica. RNAcentral's name for it is "partial tRNA-Leu". The record is from RNAcentral. Lineage: Eukaryota; Metazoa; Arthropoda; Insecta; Hemiptera; Cicadidae.